Molecule: transfer-messenger RNA, 403 nt
Filed under: Candidatus Lambdaproteobacteria bacterium RIFOXYD2_FULL_50_16
Lineage: Bacteria; Pseudomonadati; Pseudomonadota; Candidatus Lambdaproteobacteria
Also listed under: 1 other name
Rfam family: transfer-messenger RNA
About the family: Bacterial tmRNA, also known as 10Sa RNA or SsrA, is named for its dual tRNA and mRNA-like properties. Its role is to liberate the mRNA from a stalled ribosome. To accomplish this part of the tmRNA is used as a reading frame that ends in a translation stop signal.
Source: RNAcentral
GGGGGUGCAUUGGAAUUCGACUGGGAAAUGGGAAAGUAGAGUAGCAAGCCUGGGGUGAUUGAAGGGCCCAGUAAAAAAUCAAUCGAACUGUAAUUGCUAACAACAGCGAAUACAACCUGAACGAAGUGGCUCUAGCCGCCUAGUUCAGUUUUUCGGACCCCGGCGUAAGUCGCGGACCGGACGGGAGUAGGCCCGAUGUUCGGUAAGGCUUGUCUCCUGUAAUAAAAAUCGGACUGGACCUCUGCGGUGUCGAUACGUAGAGGUUAAGAUCAAAAACGACUGGUCACCUCUGAGCCUGUCCGGCAGCAACAUGAGGGGGCGAGAUGCGAAAGACGGACUAAGCUUGUAGAAUCCUGCUGUACCGCUCCACAGGACGGGGGUUCGACUCCCCCCACCUCCACCA